UACGGGAGGCAGCAGUGGGGAAUAUUGCGCAAUGGGCGCAGGCCUGAUGCAGCCAUGCCGCGUGUGUGAAGAAGGCCUUCGGGUUGUAAAGCACUUUCAGUCAGGAGGAAAGGUUAGUAGUUAAUACCUGCUAGCUGUGACGUUACUGACAGAAGAAGCACCGGCUAACUCCGUGCCAGCAGCCGCGGUAAU
RNAcentral lists this ribosomal RNA (192 nucleotides) under uncultured bacterium. RNAcentral describes it as "partial 16S ribosomal RNA". It matches the Rfam family "Bacterial small subunit ribosomal RNA", at positions 340 to 524 of the family's 1533-position model. The record is from RNAcentral.